UGUAUAGAGGCGAAAUGUUCGAAUCUUUAUUCUUUUGGAAAGAAGAAAGAAUCACAAAGUUGUUGAGGUUAUUUCACUUAGAUGUUAGUGGCACUUGUCCACAAACAUAAUACUACUCAUGUUGGAUAACAUUCACCGAAGAUCACUCUCGGUUGGACUAUAGUUUAUUUUUGAAUAAACACAAGUCCGAAUACUUUGCAAAAUGUUUCAAAGAAUUCAAGAAAUGUAAGUUGAUGAGUAAGACGUCUAAAGUAUUUACAUCCUCAGAUUUGAUCCAAGGAAUGGUAACACUUUAGAAUAGUUUUCUUGAAAGAUAUCAAGGAAAGAAGCAUCAUAAGA
RNAcentral lists this long non-coding RNA (339 nucleotides) under Malus domestica (apple). RNAcentral's name for it is "long non-coding RNA (MDOM_LNC005881)". The record is from RNAcentral. Lineage: Eukaryota; Viridiplantae; Streptophyta; Magnoliopsida; Rosales; Rosaceae.